UGGGGAAUAUUGCGCAAUGGGGGAAACCCUGACGCAGCAACGCCGCGUGAAGGAAGAAGGCCUUCGGGUUGUAAACUUCUUUGAUGAGGGACGAAGGAAGUGACGGUACCUCAAAAACAAGCCACGGCUAACUACGUGCCAGCAGCCGCGGUAAUACGUAGGUGGCGAGCGUUGUCCGGAAUUACUGGGUGUAAAGGGCGCGUAGGCGGGGGCAUAAGUCAGAUGUGAAACCCCCCGGCUUAACCGGGGGACUGCAUCUGAAACUAUGUUUCUUGAGUGCUGGAGAGGAAAGCGGAAUUCCCAGUGUAGCGGUGAAAUGCGUAGAGAUUGGGAGGAACACCAGUGGCGAAGGCGGCUUUCUGGACAGUAACUGACGCUGAGGCGCGAAAGCGUGGGGAGCGAACAGG
This 407-nucleotide ribosomal RNA is filed under the name uncultured bacterium. RNAcentral's name for it is "bacterial SSU rRNA". It matches the Rfam family "Bacterial small subunit ribosomal RNA", at positions 355 to 776 of the family's 1533-position model. The record is from RNAcentral.